This 253-nucleotide ribosomal RNA is filed under the name uncultured bacterium. RNAcentral's name for it is "partial 16S ribosomal RNA". It matches the Rfam family "Bacterial small subunit ribosomal RNA", at positions 524 to 776 of the family's 1533-position model. The record is from RNAcentral.
UACGGAGGGUGCAAGCGUUAUCCGGAAUCACUGGGUUUAAGGGGUGCGUAGGCGGCACUGUAAGUCAGGGGUGAAAGGCUGCAGCUCAACUGUGGAAUUGCCUUUGAUACUGCGGUGCUAGAAUGAGAUUGAGGUAAGCGGAAUGUGGCAUGUAGCGGUGAAAUGCAUAGAUAUGCCAUAGAACACCAAUUGCGAAGGCAGCUUGCUAGAUCUUGAUUGACGCUGAGGCACGAAAGCGUAGGGAGCGAACAGG